AAUGGCCGCGGUAUCUUGACCGUGCAAAGGUAGCAUAAUCACUUGCCCCUUAAUUAGGGGCUGGCAUGAAAGGACACACGAAAGCUUCCCUGUCUCAUAAUAAUAAAUAAAAAUUAAUCUUUAAGUGAAAAAGCUUAAAUAAAAUUGCAGGACAAGAAGACCCCGUUGAGCUUUAUUCUCUAUAGAUCAACCUAAAUAUUUUCUAUAUCAUAAACCUAAAAAAGAAUUUAGUUGGGGUGACUAAGGAACAUCAUAAACUUCCUCUAUCUACUUAGGGCCAUUUCCCAAAAAAAUUGACCCACAAACCGUGAUCAAAAAAAUAAGCUACCACAGGGAUAACAGGCUAAUCUUUCUUAAGAGCCCAAAUUGUCAGAAAGGAUUGGCACCUCGAUGUUGGCUUAGGG
RNAcentral lists this ribosomal RNA (404 nucleotides) under Escarpia southwardae. RNAcentral's name for it is "partial 16S ribosomal RNA". It matches the Rfam family "Bacterial large subunit ribosomal RNA", at positions 1926 to 2542 of the family's 2925-position model. The record is from RNAcentral. Lineage: Eukaryota; Metazoa; Annelida; Polychaeta; Sabellida; Siboglinidae.